CAAUAGCGUAUAUUAAAGUUGUUGCAGUUAAAAAGCUCGUAGUUGGAUUUGUGUUUUAGAUGAACGGUUUUUGCUUUUGCAAAGUACUGUUUAUUUGGGACAUUAUUUGUGAGGGUCCUUGACUGGCAUUAAGUUGUUGGUUUUGGAAGCUUGCAUCGUUUACUGUGAAAAAAUUAGAGUGUUUCAAGCAGGCGUUUGCUUUUGAAUACAUUAGCAUGGAAUAAUAGGAUAUGACUAGCGUGGUCUAUUUUGUUGGUUUGCACACGCAAGUAAUGAUUAAUAGGGACAGUUGGGGGUAUUCAUAUUUGAGCGUCAGAGGUGAAAUUCUUGGAUCGCUGAAAGAUGAGCUUAGGCGAAAGCAUUUAUCAUGGAUGUUUUCAUUAA
Molecule: ribosomal RNA, 384 nt
Filed under: uncultured eukaryote
Lineage: Eukaryota
Description: partial 18S ribosomal RNA
Rfam family: Eukaryotic small subunit ribosomal RNA
Source: RNAcentral